Molecule: ribosomal RNA, 559 nt
Filed under: uncultured Nitrosopumilales archaeon
Lineage: Archaea; Thermoproteati; Nitrososphaerota; Nitrososphaeria; Nitrosopumilales
Description: bacterial SSU rRNA
Rfam family: Archaeal small subunit ribosomal RNA
Source: RNAcentral
GGCCCUAUGGGGUGCAGCAGGCGAGAAACCUUUGCAAUGUGCGCAAGCACGACAAGGUUAAUCCGAGUGUUUCCUGCUAAAGGAAUCUUUUGUUAGUUCUAAAACCACUGAUGAAUAAGGGGUGGGCAAGUUCUGGUGUCAGCCGCCGCGGUAAAACCAGCACCUCAAGUGGUCAGGAGGAUUAUUGGGCCUAAAGCAUCCGUAGCCUGUUCUGUAAGUUUCCGGUUAAAUCCAUUAGCUCAACUAAUGGGCCGCCGAAAAUACUGCAGAACUAGGGAGUGGGAGAGGUAGACGGUACUCGGUAGGAAGGGGUAAAAUCCUUUGAUCUAUUGAUGACCACCUGUGGCGAAGGCGGUCUACCAGAACACGUUCGACGGUGAGGGAUGAAAGCUGGGGGAGCAAACCGGAUUAGAUACCCGGGUAGUCCCAGCUGUAAACGAUGCAGACUCGGUGAUGCGCUGGCUUGUGGCCAGUGCAGUGCCGCAGGGAAGCCGUUAAGUUUGCCGCCUGGGAAGUACGUACGCAAGUAUGAAACUUAAAGGAAUUGGCGGGGGAGCAC